This 496-nucleotide ribosomal RNA is filed under the name uncultured bacterium. Its description in RNAcentral is "partial 16S ribosomal RNA". It matches the Rfam family "Bacterial small subunit ribosomal RNA", at positions 29 to 507 of the family's 1533-position model. The record is from RNAcentral.
AUGAACGCUGGCGGCGUGCCUAAUACAUGCAAGUCGAGCGAACGGACGAGAAGCUUGCUUCUCUGAUGUUAGCGGCGGACGGGUGAGUAACACGUGGAUAACCUACCUAUAAGACUGGGAUAACUUCGGGAAACCGGAGCUAAUACCGGAUGAUAUUUUGAACCGCAUGGUUCAAAAGUGAAAGACGGUCUUGCUGUCACUUAUAGAUGGAUCCGCGCUGCAUUAGCUAGUUGGUAAGGUAACGGCUUACCAAGGCAACGAUGCAUAGCCGACCUGAGAGGGUGAUCGACCACACUGGAACUGAGACACGGUCCAGACUCCUACGGGAGGCAGCAGUAGGGAAUCUUCCGCAAUGGGCGAAAGCCUGACGGAGCAACGCCGCGUGAGUGAUGAAGGUCUUCGGAUCGUAAAACUCUGUUAUUAGGGAAGAACAUAUGUGUAAGUAACUGUGCACAUCUUGACGGUACCUAAUCAGAAAGCCGCGGCUAACUACGUG